UGCCAGCCGCCGCGGUAAUACGGGGGGGGCUAGCGUUGUUCGGAAUUACUGGGCGUAAAGCGCACGUAGGCGGACUAUUAAGUCAGGGGUGAAAUCCCGGGGCUCAACCCCGGAACUGCCUCUGAUACUGGUAGUCUUGAGUUCGAGAGAGGUGAGUGGAAUUCCGAGUGUAGAGGUGAAAUUCGUAGAUAUAUGGAGGAAUACCAGUGGCGAAGGCGGCCUCCUGGCUCGAUACUGACACUGAGGUGCGAAAGCGUGGGUAGCAAACAGGAUUAGAUA
RNAcentral lists this ribosomal RNA (279 nucleotides) under uncultured bacterium. RNAcentral's name for it is "partial 16S ribosomal RNA". It matches the Rfam family "Bacterial small subunit ribosomal RNA", at positions 506 to 784 of the family's 1533-position model. The record is from RNAcentral.